This 465-nucleotide ribosomal RNA is filed under the name uncultured bacterium. RNAcentral's name for it is "partial 16S ribosomal RNA". It matches the Rfam family "Bacterial small subunit ribosomal RNA", at positions 32 to 507 of the family's 1533-position model. The record is from RNAcentral.
AAUCAACGCUGGCGGCGUGCCUCAGACAUGCAAGUCGAACGAUUAAACUUCCCUUCGGGGAAGAUAUAAAGUGGCGCACGGGUGAGUAACACGUAGGUAAUGUACCUUUGGGUGGGGAAUAACUUAGGGAAACUUAAGCUAAUACCGCAUAAUGCAGCGGCUCCUUCGGGAGACAGUUGUUAAAGAUUUAUCGCCUAAAGAGCAGCCUGCGGCAGAUUAGCUAGUUGGUAAGGUAACGGUUUACCAAGGCUACGAUCUGUAUCCGACCUGAGAGGGUGGUCGGACACACUGACACUGAAUAACGGGUCAGACUCCUACGGGAGGCAGCAGUCGGGAAUUUUGGGCAAUGGGCGAAAGCCUGACCCAGCAACGCCGCGUGAAGGAUGAAGUCUUUCGGGAUGUAAACUUCGUAAGAAUAGGAAGAAUAAAUGACGGUACUAUUUGUAAGGUCCGGCUAACUACGUG